This is a long non-coding RNA of Lampris incognitus (smalleye Pacific opah), 290 nucleotides long. RefSeq lists it as uncharacterized. The transcript is spliced from 3 exons. NCBI's taxonomy places the organism in Eukaryota, Metazoa, Chordata, Actinopteri, Lampriformes, Lampridae. The record is from RefSeq and is a predicted model, not a curated record.
CUGCAGCCACCACAGCUUCUACAAUGACCAAAACCACAACCGCCAUAAUGACCACGACAGCAUCAACUACAGUGGCGAUCACUAUUACCCAGCUGGAAUUCACAUCUGCCGGAGAGUUAUUUACAGCUGACCUUUUGACUUCAACAUCUGCAGCUUUUCAAGCUCGAGCCACAUUGAUAAAGUCAAAACUUGAACCUUUCUACACGUCAGCAUUCUCUUCCUUCAGUAGCUUGACAGUGGUAUCGUUCAGACAGGGAUCGAUCAUCAAUACUGCGGACCUACGGUUUUCU